Molecule: long non-coding RNA, 172 nt
Organism: Spea bombifrons (plains spadefoot toad)
Lineage: Eukaryota; Metazoa; Chordata; Amphibia; Anura; Pelobatidae
Exons: 2
Source: RefSeq, a predicted model, not a curated record
UCCCAGGGGUUUUUGGUACCUCAAAGCCCGGAGCAAUUUUGCCAUUUUUGCGGUAUUGUACCCAUGUAAACUAUAUAUUGUUUUUUCAAGGAGAGAUUGAGCUUUCUUUUGAUACCAUAGUUGGAUGAUUAGCUGAAAAUUUAGAAUGAGAAAUUUAGUAAAAACUAGCGAA